Molecule: small nuclear RNA, 107 nt
Organism: Mobula hypostoma (lesser devil ray)
Lineage: Eukaryota; Metazoa; Chordata; Chondrichthyes; Myliobatiformes; Myliobatidae
Source: RefSeq, a predicted model, not a curated record
GUGCUCGCUUUGGCGGCACAUAUACUAAAAUUGGAAUGAUGCAGAGAAUAUUAGCACGGCCCCUGCGCGAGGAUGACACAUAAAUUUGUGAAGUGUUGGAUAUUUUG